RNAcentral lists this ribosomal RNA (727 nucleotides) under Bacillus cereus. RNAcentral's name for it is "bacterial SSU rRNA". It matches the Rfam family "Bacterial small subunit ribosomal RNA", at positions 69 to 780 of the family's 1533-position model. The record is from RNAcentral. Lineage: Bacteria; Bacillati; Bacillota; Bacilli; Caryophanales; Bacillaceae.
AUUGAAGAGGCUUGCUCUUAUGAAGUUAGCGGCGGACGGGUGAGUAACACGUGGGUAACCUGCCCAUAAGACUGGGAUAACUCCGGGAAACCGGGGCUAAUACCGGAUAACAUUUUGAACUGCAUGGUUCGAAAUUGAAAGGCGGCUUCGGCUGUCACUUAUGGAUGGACCCGCGUCGCAUUAGCUAGUUGGUGAGGUAACGGCUCACCAAGGCAACGAUGCGUAGCCGACCUGAGAGGGUGAUCGGCCACACUGGGACUGAGACACGGCCCAGACUCCUACGGGAGGCAGCAGUAGGGAAUCUUCCGCAAUGGACGAAAGUCUGACGGAGCAACGCCGCGUGAGUGAUGAAGGCUUUCGGGUCGUAAAACUCUGUUGUUAGGGAAGAACAAGUGCUAGUUGAAUAAGCUGGCACCUUGACGGUACCUAACCAGAAAGCCACGGCUAACUACGUGCCAGCAGCCGCGGUAAUACGUAGGUGGCAAGCGUUAUCCGGAAUUAUUGGGCGUAAAGCGCGCGCAGGUGGUUUCUUAAGUCUGAUGUGAAAGCCCACGGCUCAACCGUGGAGGGUCAUUGGAAACUGGGAGACUUGAGUGCAGAAGAGGAAAGUGGAAUUCCAUGUGUAGCGGUGAAAUGCGUAGAGAUAUGGAGGAACACCAGUGGCGAAGGCGACUUUCUGGUCUGUAACUGACACUGAGGCGCGAAAGCGUGGGGAGCAACAGGAUAG